RNAcentral lists this ribosomal RNA (1535 nucleotides) under Escherichia coli. Its description in RNAcentral is "bacterial SSU rRNA". It matches the Rfam family "Bacterial small subunit ribosomal RNA". The record is from RNAcentral. Lineage: Bacteria; Pseudomonadati; Pseudomonadota; Gammaproteobacteria; Enterobacterales; Enterobacteriaceae.
UUGAAGAGUUUGAUCAUGGCUCAGAUUGAACGCUGGCGGCAGGCCUAACACAUGCAAGUCGAACGGUAACAGGAAACAGCUUGCUGUUUCGCUGACGAGUGGCGGACGGGUGAGUAAUGUCUGGGAAACUGCCUGAUGGAGGGGGAUAACUACUGGAAACGGUAGCUAAUACCGCAUAACGUCGCAAGACCAAAGAGGGGGACCUUCGGGCCUCUUGCCAUCGGAUGUGCCCAGAUGGGAUUAGCUAGUAGGUGGGGUAACGGCUCACCUAGGCGACGAUCCCUAGCUGGUCUGAGAGGAUGACCAGCCACACUGGAACUGAGACACGGUCCAGACUCCUACGGGAGGCAGCAGUGGGGAAUAUUGCACAAUGGGCGCAAGCCUGAUGCAGCCAUGCCGCGUGUAUGAAGAAGGCCUUCGGGUUGUAAAGUACUUUCAGCGGGGAGGAAGGGAGUAAAGUUAAUACCUUUGCUCAUUGACGUUACCCGCAGAAGAAGCACCGGCUAACUCCGUGCCAGCAGCCGCGGUAAUACGGAGGGUGCAAGCGUUAAUCGGAAUUACUGGGCGUAAAGCGCACGCAGGCGGUUUGUUAAGUCAGAUGUGAAAUCCCCGGCUCAACGGGAACUGCAUCUGAUACUGGCAAGCUUGAGUCUCGUAGAGGGGGGUAGAAUUCCAGGUGUAGCGGUGAAAUGCGUAGAGAUCUGGAGGAAUACCGGUGGCGAAGGCGGCCCCCUGGACGAAGACUGACGCUCAGGUGCGAAAGCGUGGGGAGCAAACAGGAUUAGAUACCCUGGUAGUCCACGCCGUAAACGAUGUCGACUUGGAGGUUGUGCCCUUGAGGCGUGGCUUCCGGAGCUAACGCGUUAAGUCGACCGCCUGGGGAGUACGGCCGCAAGGUUAAAACUCAAAUGAAUUGACGGGGGCCCGCACAAGCGGUGGAGCAUGUGGUUUAAUUCGAUGCAACGCGAAGAACCUUACCUGGUCUUGACAUCCACAGAACUUUCCAGAGAUGGAUUGGUGCCUUCGGGAACUGUGAGACAGGUGCUGCAUGGCUGUCGUCAGCUCGUGUUGUGAAAUGUUGGGUUAAGUCCCGCAACGAGCGCAACCCUUAUCCUUUGUUGCCAGCGGUCCGGCCGGGAACUCAAAGGAGACUGCCAGUGAUAAACUGGAGGAAGGUGGGGAUGACGUCAAGUCAUCAUGGCCCUUACGACCAGGGCUACACACGUGCUACAAUGGCGCAUACAAAGAGAAGCGACCUCGCGAGAGCAAGCGGACCUCAUAAAGUGCGUCGUAGUCCGGAUUGGAGUCUGCAACUCGACUCCAUGAAGUCGGAAUCGCUAGUAAUCGUGGAUCAGAAUGCCACGGUGAAUACGUUCCCGGGCCUUGUACACACCGCCCGUCACACCAUGGGAGUGGGUUGCAAAAGAAGUAGGUAGCUUAACCUUCGGGAGGGCGCUUACCACUUUGUGAUUCAUGACUGGGGUGAAGUCGUAACAAGGUAACCGUAGGGGAACCUGCGGUUGGAUCACCUCCUU